GGAAGUCCGGUGAGAAUCCGGCACAGACUCUCUCUGCUGUGAUGGCAACGAACAGGACAACAGGCCACUGGAGGAAGUUCUCCGGGAAGGCGUCCCAAGUAGGAUAGAAAGCCUAAGUCAGAACAC
Molecule: non-coding RNA, 126 nt
Filed under: Blautia sp.
Lineage: Bacteria; Bacillati; Bacillota; Clostridia; Lachnospirales; Lachnospiraceae
Source: RNAcentral